UGGGGAAUCUUGCACAAUGGGCGCAAGCCUGAUGCAGCAACGCCGCGUGCGGGAAGACGGCCCUAGGGUUGUAAACCGCUUUCAGGAGGGAAAGAAAUGACGGUACCUCCAGAAGAACGGUGCGGCCAACUACGUGCCAGCAGCCGCGUGACACGUAGGCACCAAGCGUUAUCCGGAUUUAUUGGGCGUAAAGAGCUCGUAGGCGGUUCGGUAAGUCGGGUGUGAAAUCCAAGGCUCAACCUUGGGACGCACCCGAUACUGCUGUGACUCGAGUGCAGUAGGGGAGCAGGGAAUUCCUGGUGUAGCGGUGAAAUGCGCAGAUAUCAGGAGGAACACCAGUGGCGAAGGCGCUGCUCUGGGCUGUAACUGACGCUGAGGAGCGAAAGCAUGGGU
RNAcentral lists this ribosomal RNA (393 nucleotides) under uncultured bacterium. Its description in RNAcentral is "bacterial SSU rRNA". It matches the Rfam family "Bacterial small subunit ribosomal RNA", at positions 355 to 766 of the family's 1533-position model. The record is from RNAcentral.